This 506-nucleotide ribosomal RNA is filed under the name uncultured bacterium. Its description in RNAcentral is "bacterial SSU rRNA". It matches the Rfam family "Bacterial small subunit ribosomal RNA", at positions 28 to 526 of the family's 1533-position model. The record is from RNAcentral.
GACGAACGCUGGCGGCGUGGAUUAGGCAUGCAAGUCGAACGGUAUCAUCCUUUCGGGGGUGAGAGAGUGGCGAACUGGUGAGUAACACGUAGGUUAUCUACCCUCAAGACGGGGACAACCCAGGGAAACUUGGGCUAAUACCGGAUGUGAGCAACUUUUAGUUGUUUGAAAGGUGGCGUAAGCUGUCGCUUGGGGAUGAGCCUGCGUCCUAUUAGUUAGUUGGUGAGGUAACGGCUCACCUAGGCAAUGAUAGGUAGGCGGCCUUAACGGGUGGUCGCCCACACUGGGAUUGAGAUACGGCCCAGACUCCUACGGGAGGCAGCAGUCGAGAAUAGUCUACAAUGGUCGGAAGACUGAUAGUGCGACGCCGCGUGAACGAUGAAUCCCUUCGGGGUGUAAAGUUCUUUUAUAUGUGAGCAGUGCUUCUUAUAUUAACAGUAUGGGGAGAGAGAUAUUAGCAUAUGAAUAAGCAACGGCUAACUCCGUGCCAGCAACCGCGGUAAUCU